Hordeum vulgare subsp. vulgare (domesticated barley) is the source of this 73-nucleotide non-coding RNA. The record is from Rfam. Lineage: Eukaryota; Viridiplantae; Streptophyta; Magnoliopsida; Poales; Poaceae.
GGGGAUGUAGCUCAAAUGGUAGAGCAUUUAUUAUGCUAAUGAAAGGCAGGGGGAUCGAUACCUCCCAUCUCCA